UUAGCUGGACAGAUUUAGGCAGCUACAAGCUGAAUGAUGCAGUGAAGUGUAGCAAGUAUCUCCAAAUCAGAGGCAACAAAAACACACCCACAACUAACUUAAAACCUGACAUGCAGCUAAGCAGCGUCUAAAGUACAGUCUUAAGUGUGAUUUGUGACACAUUCAGCAGAGAAGUCCAAGAAUGAGAGCGUGACCCCAAGAUAAAGGAUGAGAAACUAGUUUGACUAGAGCUUAUGACAAAAUAUCCAGAUGGGGCAGUCAAUUAGGAAAAAUGAAAACAGCCAGCCAACCCAGGCUGGUACAACUCCAUGGCACAGGAUCCAAGCCUGGGGCUCACGUAGGCUGCCAUCGGCUGGCCUGGCCUUCUUCUGGGCUGGUCGAUUGGGUCAUGGGUACCAUGAGGUCUGCUGCCUUCAUCCUGUAAGCUGGCUUUGAGGAUCAGAAGAGCUUCAAACAUAUGCUGCCGAUGUGAUGUUGUUCCAACACUUCCAGUUUUUAUUAUGGAAGAUUCAGCAGACUUACUGGGAAUUAUCGGAUGGCCACUGAAUCAAACAGAAGUUAGGAAAAGUCAGAAAAUAUAGAAGUACAUAAUAAAUUUUCCCUUGGAAUUUCGUGCAUGAUAGCAAGAUCUUCAUUCAAUGUCCUUAACCAACAUAAGAAUGUUACAAAUAUCUUAAAUACAGUACCAGUAUAAAUUAGAGCAAAUCAUAUGCUUUACUUCUUAGUAACAUCACUGCAAGAAAUAGAUAGAUAGAGUUGUACUUUCAUGAACACUCUCUCUGUUGAGUACAUGAAGACAACUGUCACGCUCGCAUUAAAAAAAAGUCCAGCUAAGAAUCCAUAGCCAGUACCUGGAGUCAUACAAAUCUCAGAUAUUGGCAGUCAUCCAUUCAUGUGAGACAGAAACAAAUGAUGUGAAAAUCACUCAAGCGCUCUGGGCACAAAUGCAUUUAACUAAGACACCAAGAACAAAUGAAAAGACAAUGAUCGAAUCCAGUUAUCCACUUUGCUGAGGAGUCACCCGAAAAACUAAAUGCAACUGCUCAACUGCAUUAUAUUACUUUAACUCUGUACAUCACCUCCUCCAGUCACAGUAAUUCCUGUGUUGGACACACAUAGAAGGUUAGUGUUCUGACAUGGACAACUGCUUAUAAUCUAGUGUUAAAGUAACCUGAAGUGCGCAAUGUCAUCUCAUGGAUGUCACCGGUAUUUCUGAUGUAGACUAAACUAGUUGCAUUUUAUAGUUAGUAUAUUUUUGACCUUUACAUCUAUAUUUCAAAAGGUGUCAGGUUCAGUG
Chiloscyllium plagiosum (whitespotted bambooshark) is the source of this 1297-nucleotide long non-coding RNA. RefSeq lists it as uncharacterized. The record is from RefSeq and is a predicted model, not a curated record. NCBI's taxonomy places the organism in Eukaryota, Metazoa, Chordata, Chondrichthyes, Orectolobiformes, Hemiscylliidae.